AAGGUACUAGGUUAAAAAUUAAACUCUGGGUCUUCAAAACCUAAAAUGGAAAUUGUUUUCCGUGUCUUG
Molecule: transfer RNA, 69 nt
Filed under: Enoplochiton echinatus
Lineage: Eukaryota; Metazoa; Mollusca; Polyplacophora; Chitonida; Chitonidae
Description: tRNA-Trp
Source: RNAcentral